CGAGCGGAAACGAUGGGAGCUUGCUCCCAGGCGUCGAGCGGCGGACGGGUGAGUAACGCGUAGGAAUCUACCCAGUAGAGGGGGAUAGCCCGGUGAAAACCGGAUUAAUACCGCAUACGCCCUACGGGGGAAAGGCCGGGAUCUUCGGACCGGUCACUAUUGGAUGAGCCUGCGUAAGAUUAGCUAGUUGGUAGGGUAAAGGCCUACCAAGGCGACGAUCUUUAGCUGGUCUGAGAGGAUGAUCAGCCACACUGGAACUGAGACACGGUCCAGACUCCUACGGGAGGCAGCAGUGGGGAAUAUUGGACAAUGGGGGCAACCCUGAUCCAGCCAUGCCGCGUGUGUGAAGAAGGCCUUAGGGUUGUAAAGCACUUUCAGUAGGGAGAAAGGGUUUGAGGUUAAUAGCCUUGAACAUUGAUGUUACCUACAGAAGCAGCACCGG
This 442-nucleotide ribosomal RNA is filed under the name uncultured Gammaproteobacteria bacterium. RNAcentral's name for it is "bacterial SSU rRNA". It matches the Rfam family "Bacterial small subunit ribosomal RNA", at positions 63 to 496 of the family's 1533-position model. Lineage: Bacteria; Pseudomonadati; Pseudomonadota; Gammaproteobacteria. The record is from RNAcentral.